This 401-nucleotide ribosomal RNA is filed under the name Enterobacter sp. HP20. RNAcentral's name for it is "bacterial SSU rRNA". It matches the Rfam family "Bacterial small subunit ribosomal RNA", at positions 992 to 1392 of the family's 1533-position model. Lineage: Bacteria; Pseudomonadati; Pseudomonadota; Gammaproteobacteria; Enterobacterales; Enterobacteriaceae. The record is from RNAcentral.
AGAACUUUUCCAGAGAUGGUUUGGUGCCUUCGGGAACUCUGAGACAGGUGCUGCAUGGCUGUCGUCAGUUAGUGUUGUGAAAUGUUGGGUUAAGUCCCGCAACGAGCGCAACCCUUAUCCUUUGUUGCCAGCGGUUAGGCCGGGAACUCAAAGGAGACUGCCAGUGAUAAACUGGAGGAAGGUGGGGAUGACGUCAAGUCAUCAUGGCCCUUACGAGUAGGGCUACACACGUGCUACAAUGGCGCAUACAAAGAGAAGCGACCUCGCGAGAGCAAGCGGACCUCAUAAAGUGCGUCGUAGUCCGGAUUGGAGUCUGCAACUCGACUCCAUGAAGUCGGAAUCGCUAGUAAUCGUAGAUCAGAAUGCUACGGUGAAUACGUUCCCGGGUCUUGUACACACCG